This 215-nucleotide small nucleolar RNA is filed under the name Pelusios castaneus (West African mud turtle). Its description in RNAcentral is "ACEA small nucleolar RNA U3 (ENSPCEG00000000968.1)". It matches the Rfam family "Small nucleolar RNA U3". Rfam says of the family: Small nucleolar RNAs (snoRNAs) are involved in the processing and modification of rRNA in the nucleolus. There are two main classes of snoRNAs: the box C/D class, and the box H/ACA class. U3 snoRNA is a member of the box C/D class. Lineage: Eukaryota; Metazoa; Chordata; Testudines; Pelomedusidae. The record is from RNAcentral.
AAGACUGUGCUUUCAGGGAUCAUUUCUAUAGUUGGUGAUUAGAGAAGGAUGUGUGUGAAAAGCUGGUCUUGCUAACCAUGAUGAAGAAUUAUAGUGUUUUCUUCUGAGUAUGAUAGUAGCAGACAGUGUGGGUCUGUGCUAGUUACUUUCUGCUGUGGAUGAUUGUUCUCUUUUUCCUGGGAAAAGCAGGGGAAGGAACCACAAGCUGAGUGGUU